CUUGAUCUCGAUUCAAGAGUGACGGGCGAUUUGUGCAUAUUAAAAUUUUGUUUUCUAUUUUAAUUUUUUUUUUUAAAUUUAAUUUUAAGUUCUUCUUAUUUGUUUAUUCUUCUAUAUAAUUUUAAUUUUAUUUUUAUGAGUUUCAUAAAUAUCAAACUUAUAUCUUCUGUCUUGAUUUGUUUUGUUUAAUUUAUUUUAAAUUUACUAAAAUUUUUAUAUUUUAAUUUUAAACAAUGAUAUAGAAAGUUAAAAAGUUAGUUUUAUUUUAUCGUGGGCUAUCUAUUAUUAUACAAAACUCCCUAAAGUUGUUAAUACCGCCAUUUUAUUUAGAUUUAGAUUAAUUAUUUACUAUCUAUUUUUAUAAUAAAA
This 369-nucleotide ribosomal RNA is filed under the name Tetra sp. GZ22 2. RNAcentral describes it as "partial small subunit ribosomal RNA". Lineage: Eukaryota; Metazoa; Arthropoda; Arachnida; Trombidiformes; Eriophyidae. The record is from RNAcentral.